Long non-coding RNA from Equus asinus (donkey), 5189 nucleotides. The record is from Ensembl. Lineage: Eukaryota; Metazoa; Chordata; Mammalia; Perissodactyla; Equidae.
UUGGCCUGUGGAGGUGACCUUUCAAGGAGCUCAAAGUCAGGACUUUAACUCAAUCAGACCACACUUGGAGUCUUGUGCGCUUUCUGGGCACCACCUUUUAAAAGGAACAUUGACCUGUUCCGCCUCCAGAGAACAGAACCAAGACAACUGGGUGGAAGUUGCUCAGAGAUAAAUCCCGACUCAACAGAAGCAAACCGUGUCUCCUGCCAUCAGAGCCUCUGACAAUGGAAGUGGCUGCUUUGGAAACGGUUUGCUCCCAGGCAUUGAAACGCUGAAGCAGGGGGUGUUUUAACAGCUGUCAAAGAGAUUUUUAUUUUUUUACUAAGAUCCCUUUACUUUAAAUUCCAACACUGUAUGAUUGCUUGAUCACAGAACUCUUCAAUACGUUUUGCCAAGUUGAUAGCUCCUUCUUAGUUCUUUUGUUUGGAGCAUUAACCUCUUCUCGUCCCACACCAAAAAAAAAUUGGCAAAAACAUAUAGAAUGACAAUAACAGUCACAACAUUGAAGUCUUGUUGUUGUCUGACUGUGCCACGUUCCCUCCACUGGGGAAGAAGGACACGCUGUGGCCUGUUGAUUAUCAAAGUAGAGGUCUGGAGGCCACUCAAGGGUGAUGGUGACAGCACAGCACUGACACCUCCAAAUGGUCCUUGGGCAGGUCCAAGCACAAGAACAAGGGCAGCUGAGGCCAAGUGAGGCCAUACGUCCUCUUCUAGUGUCCCCAACUUGCUUAAUGGUGCCUCUUUCCAUAUAGAGACAUGAUGCCUUCCUCUCCAUACCCCAUCCCACACCACCAUCCUGCCCAAUUUCCAUCCAUCUUCACUGUCUCUGUGCAAAUCCAAGCCCCACCGCCAUCUGUCAUCUGAACCUGCACCCCCGCCAUGUGGGCUUGCUCCAAUUUAUUUUACACAAAUCGGAACCUUCCUGUCAUCCCGCUGCUUAUGUUUCUCAGUGGCUUCCCACUGCUAUUGGGAUGAAGAAUCUGGGCCUCAGCCCCACCUGUGUGGCACCGUGAGCUUCCCCAUUUCUGUCUCACUUUGUGCCCGGACCCCAGCCCUUGCUCUCUGUUCCAGUCACACUGACCUUCCUUCCACCCACCUGUCCUGCCACUACAGGGCUUUUGCCCCUGCUCUUCUCUUGGCCUCGGGGGAUGCUCUUCUCACCCCUCUUGGCCUAGUAAAAGCUUCCCUGUCCUUCACAUCCGUACCAAGAGGCUUCCCCUGAUCUUUCUGCCCAGAUUGUGUCCCUGGGGCCCACGGUCACAGCACCCACACCUUUCCUUCCCAUUUGCAGCUUCUCCCUUUGCAGUUGUCUCUCUGUUUCCGUGAUGAUUUAGUCUCUUCAAGGGCAGGAGCCAUGUCUGGUGUGCUCGGCGUGGCAUCCCCUGAAUGAAUGAAUGAGGAGAAGAAGCUGUGUGAGGGGCUCUGUACUCCCAGUGGCUUCCAGUGGUCUAAGAGCCAUCUAGACACAGGGGGUGGUCAUCCAUAGGGUGCUCUCCUAAAUCCCUGCCCCCACCACCCCAAACCUCUGUAACCACCAUGUCAGAAAGUCUAUUGCUUGGUUAAGCAUCAUCCUCACAUUUUAGUCUUUGUAAUGCAAUUAAGGGAGGUGACAGUGUCCCUAACACUUGCAUUUAACCAACAGUUCAGUCUAUUCCUAAAACUCUCUCUCUAGCAAGAAAAGUUUGAGUUAAAAGAGAAUAUUGGGCAGCCAGAGGGUGGAGAUGAUGGAGAGAUCUAGAAAGGAAAGGGAAUGGUGUAGGUACUGGAUGUCACACACUCUUGGUGCCCCACGGCCUUUGCACAUGAGGUUCCUGCUGUCUGAAAAGUGCUCCUUUGCCACUUGUCAAAAUCCUAAUCAUCCAUCAGAAUCAAGCUCAAGAGACCUGUAGAAGCCUUCACUGGCUGCCCUAGCAGAGUGGCUUCCUCCUCCUCCGAGCUGUCAGGGUACCUUGUCCAUACAUCCACCAUUACUGCGUUCAUCACACCAAAAGUUGCAAAGAUUUGUUUACAUGAUGUCUGUCUUACGUAGCCGGGAGCUCUUUGAGAGCAGCGCCCUAUCUUCACCCCUUUGCAUCCCCAGUGCCCGUCAGAGUACAUGGCUGUGUUAGGACUUUUGGUUGCAAGUUAUAGAAAUCAACUUGAUCUCCUCACUUAAGAAAAAAGGACGAGCCGCUCUUGUUUGCUCUGCGUGCGCCGCCUCACUGUACUUCCUCUCUUCUCUCAAAAGUGGGACAGCCUUGUGGGUGGGCUCCUCACAGACACUUAGCCAAUAGAUGUGCACUAACCACUGCCUGUAAGCACUUGAGGAGGAAGGAGAGAGGGAGGCCGAGAGGAAUGGGUGGGGAGGGGCGAUGCUGAAGACCAGCUGAACUUCUUCACCACUUAGUUCGAGGCCAUCAUGAUGCUUCCAAACGCACCAUGGCUUAGGGGUGCCUGGCCGGGGUCUCUCCUUCCCAUUUUCCCUUCCUCUCUCUACCGUCUUUCCUCAGCUCUGUCAGUUCAUCGAACUCAGGAAACUGAGCACACCGUGCUCACCAGCCCAGUGCGAAUGCGGGGCUGGGGCAGCUUCAUGAGCCCUGAUGUCUUUGGGUCCCAGGGAAGAGUGUGCAGCGUUUGAGGACCCCACCAGGGACAUCUCCUCCCUGCCGGAAUCUACCGUAGUCUUUUCUCAAGUCAUCUUUACUUUUUAAUUGCUCAAUUUCUUUUCUUUGUUUUCCUAGUUAAAGGGUAACAAAGAAUGAAUUGGGUAUGUCAGUCAUCUGUGGUCAUCAUUAAUUUCAUGGUCCUCUGCAUUUAUUAAGGCUUAUUUCCUCUCCAUAAUCUCCUUUCCCCUGAUAUUCGUAAAAGCACAUCUUAUUCUCCUUAACUGCCUUGGCUGGUGUGAUCUAAUUCCGAUUUUUAGCUGCUCUUAUCUUUUCCCAGGAAGCUUCGCCUGUUGCAGCAUAUUCCCGUUUCAUUCUCCCCUUUUCCCGCAGACAGGAGCGUCUUUCUUUCUCCGUGGCUCUCUUAGCCGUUUUGGAGGAAGUUGCACUGACUGUAUUUUGCUUCUCCUUUAGAAGAAGCGCUGGGCUGGACUUUAAUUAUGGGAGGUACCCCCUUCUCCACUUGCUUCUCCCCUGAAAAACGCCCAGCUUUCUCCAGUCUUCCAUCUGCAGCCAACAAAGAGCGCUUUGCCCCUAACUGCAGGUGAUUCUUCCCAUGGCUGUUUCACUGCUUGAACAGAAGGCUGUGCCUGGGGCAAGAUGGAGGAGGGAAACUGUGCAGUCAGAUGGGCUACCUAUUAGCAGCUCUGGUACACAAACCAGUGGUGAAGCUAACAACUAAAAAGACACUCCACACCUAGCAGGGUCAGUGCUGUGGAUAAUUAAGUGCUCGUUAUCAAUGACAGGGAAACUCCACUCCUGGUCUGUUGGGAGACAGAUCUAAAUGUCUACCCGACUGUUAUCCGUCUCUCCAUUUCUGACCUGCAGGCACCAUGAUUAUAGCUUCCCCUGUGUAUUUUGCUUAUUCUUCUCAGUUAACAUCCAUUUCGUUCUGCUUUGACUUGUGGUUAGUCAUUUACGUGUCUCUCUCUCACAUGACCAAAAUUGAACUCAUGAUCUCACCCUUUUGCAACGUAAACAUUCUUUGGAUCCCCCGGUCCCCAAUUCUAUUAAUAUCAUUCCCUAAAUUAUUUUGGAAAUAUCUCCAGUGUCCCUUCUUCCUCAGCCUCCACAUGUAAUUAGUUCACCAAUUUGCAUCUUUGAUGUGUACCCUUUCCAUUUGCUCUGGAUGCCCUUGUUAAACUGCCCCGAUUGCAGUGGACAUUAUGGUGGCCAACCCCCAUCCAGCCCCCUUCUCUCCAUAACCACAUUAUCUGCAUCUCCCCGUGUGCCGAAGGGAAGCUAACUCUGCCCAUCAUUCUAGGAAUGGAGCAUGUGGCUUAGGCCCAACCCAGUCAAUGUAAUUCCAUCCCCUGGCUAUUCUCAUUGGUUCAGGGUGAUCACAUGACCCUGUUCAAGCCAAUGAGAUCAGGGAGGACAUUUAUUGAAGACUUUGGGAACAAAGAGGUUCCUUGUUCUUCUGAGAGAGCGUCCUCAAGUGGGCCAUGAGGUGCUGGUGGCCAUCUUUACCCCCAUGUGGAAGAGCCUGCCUGAAAACGAAGCCAAUACAGACAAAAGCAGGACUCAGAGAUGGAGAAAAAGAGUCCUGAUUUUAUUGUUUGAGCUCAUGGAUCCAGCUGUACAUGGACCACUCCUAAAACUUUGUCAUACACCUAUACCUUACAUCCAGUCCAUAAGCAACUCCCACCAGCACUGCCUUUGAGAUAUAUCCAUCAUCCAACCCUUUCUUGUAUGUCUGCUGCUACCUUCCUAGUCUUCUGGCUCAGACCACUGCAAUAGCCUUCCCGCUGGUCUCCCUGCCUCCACUGUUAUCCUUCUGUGCCGUUCUCCACCAAAGAUUAGCCUGAGAGAUCCUUUUAAAAAUGUAAGUCAGAUAAUACCACUUCUCUGCUCAGAGCCCUCAAAAGGUCUCCAUUCAUGCCAAGAUCCUUCCUUUGACUCACAGGCCCUGCAGUACCUGCCUGCUCCCCUCUGACCUCAUCUCUUACCACACUCACCCUAGCUCAGCCCACUCCAUCCUAACUAGCUUUCUAACUCCCACCUCAGGGCCUUUGCACUGCUGUUCUCUCUCCGUGGAAUGCUUUUCUACAAGAUAGUUGCACAGUUUGCUCCCUCUUUCCUUCAGGGUUCUGCUCAAGUGUUGCCUAUUUGCUUAGGCCAUCCCUGACGAUUCCUCCCCAAAAUGGCACUUCCUUGUCACUCUGUCUCUCCUUGCCUUGCUUUUUUUCCUUUGUAGCACUUAUCACCACCUGAAAAAUUAUAUAUUUACGCGGCUAUUAUUAUCUGUAUCUUCCCAUUAGACUAUAUAUCCUGUGGGAAACUGAGGCUGAUUUGUUUGCUGUUAUAUAUUCAGUUCUUAGAACAGCAACUGGCACAUAGCACGUACUUAAUAAAGUGUUGUCAAUUUACAGACUGAAUGAAUAAAUGAAUAAACGAAUGAGCUAAUCACUUCUCUAUUUUGAGGAAAGUAUUUUUUUUUUUUUAGGGAAAGCACUCAAUAUUUCACCACUAAGUAUAAGAUUACCUGUUUUUGUGUGGACGUAUGUUUUCAAUUCUCUAAGGUAAAUACCUAAGAGUGGAAUCGCC